AGAGUUUGAUCAUGGCUCAGAUUGAACGCUGGCGGCAGGCCUAACACAUGCAAGUCGAACGGUAACAGGAAGCAGCUUGCUGCUUCGCUGACGAGUGGCGGACGGGUGAGUAAUGUCUGGGAAGCUGCCUGAUGGAGGGGGAUAACUACUGGAAACGGUAGCUAAUACCGCAUAAUGUCGCAAGACCAAAGAGGGGGACCUUCGGGCCUCUUGCCAUCGGAUGUGCCCAGAUGGGAUUAGCUUGUUGGUGGGGUAACGGCUCACCAAGGCGACGAUCCCUAGCUGGUCUGAGAGGAUGACCAGCCACACUGGAACUGAGACACGGUCCAGACUCCUACGGGAGGCAGCAGUGGGGAAUAUUGCACAAUGGGCGCAAGCCUGAUGCAGCCAUGCCGCGUGUAUGAAGAAGGCCUUCGGGUUGUAAAGUACUUUCAGCGGGGAGGAAGGGAGUAAAGUUAAUACCUUUGCUCAUUGACGUUACCCGCAGAAGAAGCACCGGCUAACUCCGUGCCAGCAGCCGCGGUAAUACGGAGGGUGCGAGCGUUAAUCGGAAUUACUGGGCGUAAAGCGCACGCAGGCGGUUUGUUAAGUCAGAUGUGAAAUCCCCGGGCUCAACCUGGGAACUGCAUCUGAUACUGGCAAGCUUGAGUCUCGUAGAGGGGGGUAGAAUUCCAGGUGUAGCGGUGAAAUGCGUAGAGAUCUGGAGGAAUACCGGUGGCGAAGGCGGCCCCCUGGACGAAGACUGACGCUCAGGUGCGAAAGCGUGGGGAGCAAACAGGAUUAGAUACCCUGGUAGUCCACGCCGUAAACGAUGUCGACUUGGAGGUUGUGCCCUUGAGGCGUGGCUUCCGGAGCUAACGCGUUAAGUCGACCGCCUGGGGAGUACGGCCGCAAGGUUAAAACUCAAAUGAAUUGACGGGGGCCCGCACAAGCGGUGGAGCAUGUGGUUUAAUUCGGUGCAACGCGAAGAACCUUACCUGGUCUUGACAUCCACGGAAGUUUUCAGAGAUGAGAAUGUGCCUUCGGGAACCGUGAGACAGGUGCUGCAUGGCUGUCGUCAGCUCGUGUUGUGAAAUGUUGGGUUAAGUCCCGCAACGAGCGCAACCCUUAUCCUUUGUUGCCAGCGGUCCGGCCGGGAACUCAAAGGAGACUGCCAGUGAUAAACUGGAGGAAGGUGGGGAUGACGUCAAGUCAUCAUGGCCCUUACGACCAGGGCUACACACGUGCUACAAUGGCGCAUACAAAGAGAAGCGACCUCGCGAGAGCAAGCGGACCUCAUAAAGUGCGUCGUAGUCCGGAUUGGAGUCUGCAACUCGACUCCAUGAAGUCGGAAUCGCUAGUAAUCGUGGAUCAGAAUGCCACGGUGAAUACGUUCCCGGGCCUUGUACACACCGCCCGUCACACCAUGGGAGUGGGUUGCAAAAGAAGUAGGUAGCUUAACCUUCGGGAGGGCGCUUACCACUUUGUGAUUCAUGACUGGGGUGAAGUCGGAACAAGGUAACCGUAGGGGAACCUGCGGUUG
This 1522-nucleotide ribosomal RNA is filed under the name metagenome. RNAcentral's name for it is "bacterial SSU rRNA". It matches the Rfam family "Bacterial small subunit ribosomal RNA". The record is from RNAcentral.